This is a long non-coding RNA of Cygnus olor (mute swan), 1902 nucleotides long. RefSeq lists it as uncharacterized. NCBI's taxonomy places the organism in Eukaryota, Metazoa, Chordata, Aves, Anseriformes, Anatidae. The record is from RefSeq and is a predicted model, not a curated record. The transcript is spliced from 3 exons.
CUGGCUUGAGAUUUGGGUCCUUAGGUUAUGUUUCUUACUGUUUUUACUGCUGUGAACUAAGACAUGAUCCUUGGAAUAAUGGGUGGUGCGGUUGAGACCGUGAAACGGUUUUCUGCCCAUCAGACCACUCAGAUCCCUACAAACAGCUUCAGCAGCCUGGGAUUUCUCUUUCUGACCAACCUGCUGCUUCACUGAUUGCCUCAGAUGACACAAAAGACUCAGAGGAGAAGUAUUAGGAGGCAUGUGUCUGGGCCUGAUGUAUUCCUACUGCUAUGGACAGGCUUAGAGAGAUCGUGGCAGCAGCAGGGGCCAGCAAGCAGCGAGCGCCUUCAGCUCUGGAGUGCAGAACGUGGAGAUGCCACCAGGAACUGAAACAGAAGAGUACUGGAAGAAACAUUUCAUUAUUAAUCAGGCAUAAUAUGCCGGUGGGGGAGAUUAUUAUUCCAGGUGUCUGGGAUGCUGAACAUGUAAAUACAAUACUACAUCGCUGCAGUUGAUGGCUAAGACAAUAUGAAGAUACAUUAAAGAUAAUGGAUUGAGAACAGCAAGGAAUAUGAGAUACAUGGAAGUUGUCUCUUGUGUGAGGAUGCUUCAUUUGAUCUCUGAAAGCAGGAGAAAAAGAAUAUAAUACUCCCACAGUUACUGAGAGGCUCUUCAAAUUCAGCCAACAUACGGAACUACGUAAGGAGAAGAUGACACUUGUAUACUGUGAAACAUGAAGGCUCUUGCUAUGUACAAUUAUGCUGUCUUCUCUGGCAACAUGACUGUGAAAAGAGGUAAAUAUCACUGCUUUCUGCCAGGCAACAGCUGUAAUAAUAACCACAUUGUGGCUCAGACAGGGAGUGCAGGCACAAGAGGCUUCCCCUCUUGAGGUCCUCUUAGGAGGAAGAAGGGAGCAUGAACACAGCCCACUACUUGGGGAAAACACAGGAGAAGGAAGGUGAAGUUAAUCAGUGAUGAAAGCAUAUGGGUAUGUGCAUGACUCCGUAUGUGUGUAUGGAAAUGGUAAUUAUCAUGGCUUCCAGACCAACACCCUUAGUGCAGUUGGAGUGAAUGGGAAUAAUGAACGCAUGACUUUUAUUUCAAGUAUACCCAAUCCACUGAUAAUGCCUGGUCCUAGUAAAAGGUCUGUGUUUUGCUCUUCUAUAUGCCAGGAAGUCAACGUGCAUUCAGCAGUGAUUGACAUAAUGUUUACUUUGGAUUUUUUGUAUGUUUUUUUUUCUUCCCCAGCAGCAAAAUUAUAAAUUUAUGUUCUUUUCACUCCUCUAAUGAAGCAACCAAACAAUUGGCUUGAUCUUGUUAGAAAAGGGGAGUCACAUAAGUAGCCAAGUUAGACAAAGUCCACUUGAGAUAUUUACUUGACUUCAGAGCUCCCCCAUGAGAAAUGUCCAUGCCAAGAGUUCAUCUCCUGGUAUGACAGAUGCUACGCCAUGCUGUCUUUUAUAUCCCUAGGAUUUGGGUCUGUAAACUUGUAUUUUCAAUGGAAAUAAAAUAUUUGGAGAGAAUGCUGCAGGGAUUAGGUUUUUGGCUAUUCUUCCACAUCUGCCCUUUGGAGCUGGGGAAAUAUUUGUGAGGAUAACUGCAGUAAAGACUGGGAAACAUUCAGAUGGUGCAGGGAAGGGUACUACAUAAAUAAACUGUAUAGAGAGAUGCACAAAUUGCAUUUAACAGCUGAGCCAAUGAAUCACCAUUGUUAGAAUACAUUUGAUUUUCUCUGUGCAUAGCAAUUAUAGGAGAUAGCUUGCAGGUGAAUGUAGAGAUGAUAGAUUCAGGUCUCUGCGCAACAAUGACAACUGAUAUAAUGAAGAUCUAAUGAGAACAAAAUUGAGAUUUAGAGUUACAGAUGGCAUUCCUUUCCAUCACUAUCUGAGAAUCAUUAUUUUCUUCAAGGAUCUGUAGUAU